UACGAAAGGUGCAAGCGUUGUUCGGAUUUACUGGGCGUAAAGAGAGUGUAGGUGGUUUAUUAAGUCGGAUGUGAAAUCCCGGGGCUCAACCUCGGAACUGCAUUCGAUACUGAUAGGCUAGAGUUUGGGAGGGGUAAGCGGAAUUCCGUGUGUAGUAGUGAAAUGCGUAGAUAUACGGAGGAACACCUGAGGCGAAGGCGGCUUACUGGACCAAUACUGACACUGAGACUCGAAAGCGUGGGUAGCAAACAGGAUUAGAAACCCCUGUAGUCC
Molecule: ribosomal RNA, 273 nt
Filed under: uncultured bacterium
Lineage: Bacteria
Description: partial 16S ribosomal RNA
Rfam family: Bacterial small subunit ribosomal RNA
Source: RNAcentral